RNAcentral lists this long non-coding RNA (584 nucleotides) under Chinchilla lanigera (long-tailed chinchilla). RNAcentral describes it as "lncRNA (ENSCLAG00000026004.1)". The record is from RNAcentral. Lineage: Eukaryota; Metazoa; Chordata; Mammalia; Rodentia; Chinchillidae.
GGGCACAGCAUGCUGGGGCGUUCAGAAACCAGUGCGUCUCUGUUUCCCUCAGCCUACCAGGAGGGUGUGGAGUCGUCAGCGCGGAGCACUGCUGCUUCACAAUGGGAAUCAUCCUGAGUGUGUAUCUUCAUUUUAUUCAUCUUCAAUUUCUGUUUGACAGAAUUUCAUGCUGCUGGAAGAUGUUACAUUGACAGUCGAGAGAUAAUUUUCGUCUUUAAUCCAGAGAACAAGAGCCACUUGGGAAGUGCCUAUAAAUGUCCUCUGGGUGUCCCAGAGAUACGCCUCAUCCCUGGGCUGGAAGGAACACACCUCUGGGAAGGAAACAACUUUGAUCAGUAAUUCUCUUUGGAAGACAUUAAGAGAAGCAGAUUCUAGCGAUUCUCAUCAUAUACACAGAUCUGUUAUCAUUUUACUUAAAGUACCUGGCACAGUGACUUUCAUAUCUAAGUAAACAAUAAAUACAUAAAUGAUGAACCAAAAGUUGGAUCCCAAAGGUGGAGAUGUGAGCAGAAGCCUAAUCCUUUGAGGUCUUGUUAACUGUGUUGAAAACUUUGACUUGCUCCUGAGAAAGCCACGGAAAAAUG